Molecule: long non-coding RNA, 345 nt
Organism: Manis pentadactyla (Chinese pangolin)
Lineage: Eukaryota; Metazoa; Chordata; Mammalia; Pholidota; Manidae
Exons: 2
Source: RefSeq, a predicted model, not a curated record
GGCAAAUGCCCCCAGACUGCCAACGGGAGCUGCCUCUGACCUCUGAAGAAUCACUUCUCAUCUCAAGACCUUUGCGCGUGCUGUCCCCUCUACCUGGAGUGCCUCUUCUUCAAAAUCCUGAUCCAAGACACUGGGUCCUACAGGGGACUGGUCCCAGUACAGGGAGACAAGGCAAGGCCUGUCCCGCCUCCACUGCCAGCCAUCAGUAGCAGCCCAGGCCUUGCAGGGGAAGCAACUCCUGGAGGCAGCAAUGGCGUCUGUGAAGGUGAGCCAGGCAACCCACAGCAAGCACUGGGAGGGCUCAGGUUUUGCCCUGGGGGAAUCCUGGGAAAUUGUGGAGGUUGG